Pelobates cultripes (western spadefoot toad) is the source of this 102-nucleotide non-coding RNA. Lineage: Eukaryota; Metazoa; Chordata; Amphibia; Anura; Pelobatidae. The record is from the annotation of a GenBank genome assembly.
UGUGUGUCUGUGAGUGUGUGUGUGUGUGUGUGUCUGAGAGUGUAUGUGUGUGCACGUAUAUAUAUAUAUACACACACACACACACACACACACACACACACA